Molecule: transfer RNA, 72 nt
Filed under: Enterobius vermicularis (human pinworm)
Lineage: Eukaryota; Metazoa; Nematoda; Chromadorea; Rhabditida; Oxyuridae
Rfam family: tRNA
About the family: Transfer RNA (tRNA) molecules are approximately 80 nucleotides in length. Their secondary structure includes four short double-helical elements and three loops (D, anti-codon, and T loops).
Source: Rfam by way of RNAcentral
GGAGACAUAGCUCAGGGGUAGAGCGCUCUCUUAGCAUGGGAUAGGCCUGGGCAUCGAUUCCCUAUCUCUUCA